AAGGUAAAGAUGUAAAUGUUAUAUAAAAAGAUUUAUAUAAGUAAUGAGCUUUGAUAGAUUGCUUGAUUUUGGUUUAGUCAAUUGGCAGGUAAAUAUGAAAAAAGAUCAGUCUGUCCUUUUGCUAGGCUUAUGUAAAAUAUGGAGCUUACAUCUUUUCAACUCUGCUUCCACGUUAUGAGUUGAGCAUACACACGUGUUGAGCAUGGAGCUAUAACACUUGUCGAUUAUCAAGACAUGUACUGGUUACUUUUUAUAUAUUAAUAGAUAUUAAUAGAUUUUAAUUCCCUCCAAAUAUUUUAAUAGAAUUUACUUUCCCUCCUAAACCAAAAACGAGAAAGGAAACACGAGCAAUAAUUAAUUCAUCACCUUCCUUACUAACAUGUCAAGUACACUUAGAAACACAACUCAAUUCAUACCAUUUUAGAAUCAAAAUCCUAACCGCAACCCUAGCUCAAUUUCCCCAAUUUCAUGAUAUUGACUCGGGUUCUGCGUUCCUCUCUCUCGCCGUCGUGGUGUUCUUCACUGCUUUGCUCACAUCGUGUUAUGCUUGCAUCGCAUUCUGCUCUGCUCGUGUCAUGUGCUUCUUCUCGCAUCGUGUUCUGCUCUGCUCCGCCAUGUUCGAUCUUCAGCUCGUGUCAUUCUGAAACACUCACUUUGCUCCGCCGUGGUGUUGUUCACAUCUUCCUCUCAAAUUUCUCAGAUGUUGGAGUUGGCUGGAAAUUCCUUCAGUUCAAUUGAGUUAGCGCUAAGUUUUUCGCCAUGCUUCCAAUUACGUUCACUUCUUUUUUCUGCUUCUCUCUUUGCAAAUUAGGUUUGCUUUCAUAGCUACAAUAUUUGGGGAAUUAUUGGAAGCUUUGUCUUGGCUACAGCUACCUCAAGUGCUUAAACAUUUGAUGGUUUUUUAGUGCAAUAGCUAUUUCAAUGGUUUUAUCUUGUAAAGUUGUAAACAAUGGUUUGGUUGCUUGAUGGAUUUUGUGUGCAAUAGCUAUUUCAAUGAAAAAUUUGUUUUACUACUUUAACUUAUAAAAAAUAAUUUAACUUAACCUGAAGGCUACUCAAUGUGAUCAUUGAUCAGUUUGAAAUUUACAUAUAUGCUGUUGUUUAGUAUUUUGUAAUCUAUAUAUUAUUUUAUUAGCUGAGUAGUUGUAGGGUCAAGUCUUGUUUUGUUUCCUUUUUUAGCUAAAUUGUGUCUCCCAUUUAAAUAUAAGGUAUUGGUACAAAUUAGAAUGUUCCGUGCCUGCAUUUGUUUUUUGCUCUUCCUGAGAUUGCACAUGCAUAGAUAGAUACUCCUUUAAUUUAAGCCAUUAGUAAUUGUAAUUAUUUAAUUUAAAACAUUAAUUGGUGGGCAUGUGAUUCAUCUACUACUAAAUAAUAUGUAUGGACAGAUUGGGGCGAGAAGUAAGCCAUGUAUGUUAAUGGAAAUUAACCUAAAAAUGGUUCAUAAAGCUAAGCUACACAUUGCACAUGUGCCUCCACAACUUUGAUGAACUAUACACAAUACAGACAUGCAUUGCAUAACUUUGUAUUUAUGUUCGUUAUAUAUCAUAUGUGUGUUUGUGCCUUAUUGAUUUAGUUUAAGGGGGGAAGUCCAUUUGAAUUAAGUGUAAUUAAAAAACCUGGGUACCUCAUCAUUGCAUUGUAAUCUUCCCAUUUAGUUAGAGGUCAGUAUUUGUUUAGAUAUAAAAGCACAUGCAUUUCUAUGUUUAAAUUUUCAUAUAGAAAUCAGUGUUUUUGUCUUCGCUAGUUGCUACUUAGUAAUAAAUUUCAUUGUUUUUCAUGGUAUCUCCAAGUACUAGUCAUUUCAAUUAAUUAGAUGUCCUCUUGACAUUAGAAUUUUACUGCAUGCAGAUCUAUAAUUUGGACAGCACAGACUUUGCAAUUCUCUUGCAGUUUCAUUUAAGCUCUAUGAUUUGGACAGCACAGGCUUUAUAGAAUGCCAAGAGGUGCUAUUAGAUUGAUUCUUUGGACACUUUGGCUCUACUCGGUGACCAUGACCGCUUUGCCACUUCCGUUGAAUGGAUUGAACAAAACUGUUUCUUUGUUUGAGACGACAAUCAGAGUUCUUGGAAGAUUGCUUUCGGCUCAUCUUAUAGCCAAUGAUUACGCUACGGGAUGUGAUGAUUGGUGCCAUUCCAAGCUAUGAGGAGCCGUAUAUUCAAGUUCCAAGGGUCUUAAGUAUGGACUAAAAACUUUGUAAAGUAAUCCAUGUCUCGGCUCAGGGAAUCUUAAUAGGGACCUUAGCAAACCAUUUAUUGAUAAUUCAUUGAAGGUGGAGCAGAGGCUGAAAUAAACUCAUAGUGAAGUUGACUCGGUGAAAGACCUGAAUGAAUCAAUCCUUCUUCAGGAUGAAGAACAUGAAAACAAAGGAAAAUAUGAGAGCUGUGAAGCUGCUAAAAGCGAUGCAUCUGAAAGGGAAGAUGCAACUGACGAGAUUUAGCAUAUGGGACAAGUCAAGCGUGGAUAUAAAAUAUGCAAGUAGAUUGACAUCUUUUUUACAAAUAUUAAUUACUAUUUUGUUAUGUAUUGUUAAAUAAGAAUUUUAUUAUUUUGUCGAGAAUUAUUGAUGAACACGUAUUUGAAAUACUAAUUGAACC
Molecule: long non-coding RNA, 2594 nt
Organism: Arachis stenosperma
Lineage: Eukaryota; Viridiplantae; Streptophyta; Magnoliopsida; Fabales; Fabaceae
Exons: 10
Source: RefSeq, a predicted model, not a curated record